UAUUGGUCAAUGGGCGCAAGCCUGAACCAGCCAAGUCGCGUGAGGGAAGACGGUCCUCUGGAUUGUAAACCUCUUUUGUCGGGGAGCAAAGCGCGGUACGAGUACCGUGAAGGAGAGUACCCGAAGAAAAAGCAUCGGCUAACUCCGUGCCAGCCGCCGCGGUAAUACGGAGGAUGCGAGCGUUAUCCGGAUUUAUUGGGUUGAAAGGGUGCGUAGGCGGAUUUGUAAGUCAGCGGUAAAAAUGCGGUGCUCAACGCCGUAUCGCCGUUGAAACUGCGGGUCUUGAGUGAGCGAGAAGUAUGCGGAAUGCGUGGUGUAGCGGUGAAAUGCAUAGAUGUCACGCAGAACUCCGAUUGCGAAGGCAGCAUACCGGCGCCCGACUGACGCUGAGGCACGAAAGCGUGGGUAUCGAACAGG
This 417-nucleotide ribosomal RNA is filed under the name uncultured bacterium. RNAcentral's name for it is "bacterial SSU rRNA". It matches the Rfam family "Bacterial small subunit ribosomal RNA", at positions 362 to 776 of the family's 1533-position model. The record is from RNAcentral.